This 208-nucleotide ribosomal RNA is filed under the name uncultured bacterium. RNAcentral's name for it is "partial 16S ribosomal RNA". It matches the Rfam family "Bacterial small subunit ribosomal RNA", at positions 567 to 774 of the family's 1533-position model. The record is from RNAcentral.
UUGCGUAGGUGGCACAGAAAGCGGACAGUGAAAGCGUGUGGCUCAACCAUACAUCCAUUGUCUGAACUCCUAAGCUAGAGGACGAGAGAGGCAGAUGGAAUUCUUGAUGUAGGGGUAAUAUCCGUAGAUAUCAGGAGGAACACCGAUGGCGUAAGCAGUCUGCUGGCUCGUUUCUGACACUAAGGCACGAAAGCGUGGGGAGCAAACA